UACGGAGGGUGCAAGCGUUGCUCGGAAUCAUUGGGCGUAAAGCGCACGUAGGCGGCCUGUUAAGUCGGGUGUGAAAUCCCUGGGCUCAACCCAGGAAGUGCACUCGAAACUGGCAGGCUUGAGUACUGAAGAGGGUCGCGGAAUUCCCGGUGUAGAGGUGAAAUUCGUAGAUAUCGGGAGGAACACCAGUGGCGAAGGCGGCGACCUGGGCAGAUACUGACACUGAGGUGCGAAAGCGUGGGGAGCAAACAGG
This 253-nucleotide ribosomal RNA is filed under the name uncultured bacterium. RNAcentral describes it as "partial 16S ribosomal RNA". It matches the Rfam family "Bacterial small subunit ribosomal RNA", at positions 524 to 776 of the family's 1533-position model. The record is from RNAcentral.